RNAcentral lists this ribosomal RNA (497 nucleotides) under uncultured bacterium. RNAcentral's name for it is "partial 16S ribosomal RNA". It matches the Rfam family "Bacterial small subunit ribosomal RNA", at positions 28 to 507 of the family's 1533-position model. The record is from RNAcentral.
GAUGAACGCUGGCGGCGUGCCUAAUACAUGCAAGUCGAGCGAACAGACGAGGAGCUUGCUCCUCUGACGUUAGCGGCGGACGGGUGAGUAACACGUGGAUAACCUACCUAUAAGACUGGGAUAACUUCGGGAAACCGGAGCUAAUACCGGAUAAUAUAUUGAACCGCAUGGUUCAAUAGUGAAAGACGGUUUCGCUGUCACUUAUAGAUGGAUCCGCGCCGCAUUAGCUAGUUGGUAAGGUAACGGCUUACCAAGGCAACGAUGCGUAGCCGACCUGAGAGGGUGGUCGGCCACACUGGAACUGAGGCACGGUCCAGACUCCUACGGGAGGCAGCAGUAGGGAAUCUUCCGCAAUGGGCGAAAGCCUGACGGAGCAACGCCGCGUGAGUGAUGAAGGUCUUCGGAUCGUAAAACUCUGUUAUUAGGGAAGAACAAAUGUGUAAGUAACUAUGCACGUCUUGACGGUACCUAAUCAGAAAGCCACGGCUAACUACGUG